GAUGAACGCUGGCGGCGUGCCUAAUACAUGCAAGUCGAGCGAACAGACGAGGAGCUUGCUCCUCUGACGUUAGCGGCGGACGGGUGAGUAACACGUGGAUAACCUACCUAUAAGACUGGGAUAACUUCGGGAAACCGGAGCUAAUACCGGAUAAUAUAUUGAACCGCAUGGUUCAAUAGUGAAAGACGGUUUUGCUGUCACUUAUAGAUGGAUCCGCGCCGCAUUAGCUAGUUGGUAAGGUAACGGCUUACCAAGGCAACGAUGCGUAGCCGACCUGAGAGGGUGAUCGGCCACACUGGAACUGAGACACGGUCCAGACUCCUAAGGGAGGCAGCAGUAGGGAAUCUUACGCAAUGGGCGAAAGCAUGACGGAGCAACGCCGCGUGAGUGAUGAAGGUCUUCGGAUCGUAAAACUCUGUUAUUAGGGAAGAACAAAUGUGUAAGUAACUAUGCACGUCUUGACGGUACCUAAUCAGAAAGCCACGGCUAACUACGUG
Molecule: ribosomal RNA, 497 nt
Filed under: uncultured bacterium
Lineage: Bacteria
Description: partial 16S ribosomal RNA
Rfam family: Bacterial small subunit ribosomal RNA
Source: RNAcentral